GUUAUUUUAGCAGGACGGCGCUCCCGUAGGAAACACAGCCUUGCUGUGCCUUGUGGUUUCCAGAGCAGUGUGUGUUGUCUGAACUGGGAGAAUUGGCUUGGGACUAGGCAGACUCAGUGAUUGCAGCAACUGCCUUGAAGACAAGCAUCUUCUUCUCCCAGUGUGUGUAAUGACUUCGCAGGGUCAGCAGGAUAGGCAGAAGAAGCUCACAGAUGGGAACCACAUCCGUACUGGGGCUCAUGGGUCUCCCCUACAAUGGCAGAGCCAUGGAGCAUACUCUGAGUAGAUUACAGGAGCCUGGAGGGAGCAUGGGAUCAUGUAAGCCUCCAUGGACAUGCUCCAGCAGCUCCGCUUUGUGAAAUCAGUCAUAGAAUCAUAGAAAGGUUGGGUUGGAAGGGAUCAUCUGGUUCCAACCUCUAGUCAUCAGGGUUAGCCCACUCCCAGUUCCUGGACACUGAAUCACAAAGGUGCUAAAGCAGGACUUUCCUCAUCUUACACCCUGCCAGGAACUGCUCAGGCUCUGGGGUAACGUCAGGUUCCUGCAAGUGCUAGAGAGCUUCCUGGUGGCCCAGUGCUUCACACCAGCAUCCCCCUGCUUUUGUGGUGCCUUUGAACCACUUAUAAAUAGAUCGUGCCCAUGCAACUGUUCCAUGUGUAACCAUGGGACCAAGGGGAAGUGGCUCAGAUCUCAGGCACAAUGUACAGGCUCUGGUGUCAUCCCGCCCAUCCAUCAGUGCUGAAACCCUUAUGAAAUCCAGAAGAGAUUCUGACAUGCGAUUGCUCGCUCCAUCCUGGGGGCGGGGAGAGAAUUUUUUUUUUAGGAAAGCAAGCGAGCAAGCAAACUGGCAGAACUCCUGCCACAAGGAAUGAAUUUGCACACACACUUUGAUCCCUUUAUGAUUUUUUUAUUUGUGUUAGCCACAUCCUCUUCGCUGCACCACUUAGCAAAAGAUGCUUUAAAUUAGAUGAGGCUUGGAAAACACUCUCUUUGUGGCUCCCUCCCCCCAGCCUUGCCUGCCCUCAGGGCUUAGCAUCGGUCUGGUAGCCAGAGCCUUGCCUAACAUGAAACUGGCACAAAUGAAAAGGCGGAUAAAUAAACGUCCAGGAAUCUUGUUUGUCAUAUUUAAUCCAUCACGUUUCCCAAACAGCCUGGUCAAAAAAUUCUGCAGCAGUGUUUACAUCAUCCUGAUUGAAAGC
This 1197-nucleotide long non-coding RNA is filed under the name Gallus gallus (chicken). RNAcentral's name for it is "long non-coding RNA NONGGAT008405". The record is from RNAcentral. Lineage: Eukaryota; Metazoa; Chordata; Aves; Galliformes; Phasianidae.